CGCGUAGGCGGCCGAUCAAGUCGGAGGUGAAAUCCCUCGGCUCAACUGAGGAAUUGCCUUCGAUACUGUUCGGCUUGAGUCCUGGAGAGGGUAGCGGAAUUCCCGGUGUAGCGGUGAAAUGCGUAGAGACCGGGAAGAACACCAGUGGCGAAGGCGGCUACCUGGACAGGUACUGACGCUGAAGCGCGAAAGUGGAGGGCGAACAA
This 206-nucleotide ribosomal RNA is filed under the name uncultured bacterium. Its description in RNAcentral is "partial 16S ribosomal RNA". It matches the Rfam family "Bacterial small subunit ribosomal RNA", at positions 568 to 775 of the family's 1533-position model. The record is from RNAcentral.